This 395-nucleotide ribosomal RNA is filed under the name uncultured bacterium. RNAcentral describes it as "bacterial SSU rRNA". It matches the Rfam family "Bacterial small subunit ribosomal RNA", at positions 951 to 1345 of the family's 1533-position model. The record is from RNAcentral.
ACGGGGGGAACGCGAAGAACCUUACCUGGGCUUGACAUACCUCUGAUCGGCGUGGAAACACGUCUUCCCUUCGGGGCAGAGAUACAGGUGGUGCAUGGCUGUCGUCAGCUCGUGUCGUGAGAUGUUGGGUUGAGUCCCGCAACGAGCGCAACCCCCGUCCUAUGUUGCCAGCGGAUAACGCCGGGGACUCAUGGGAUACUGCCGGUGACAAACCGGAGGAAGGUGGGGAUGACGUCAAGUCAUCAUGCCCCUUAUGUCCAGGGCUUCACACGUGCUACAUUGGCGCAUACAGAGGGCUGCGAUACCGCGAGGUGGAGCGAAUCCCAAAAAGUGCGUCUCGGUUCGGAUUGGAGGCUGAAACUCGCCUCCAUGAAGGCGGAGUUGCUAGUAAUCCC